GACGAACGCUGGCGGCGUGCUUAACACAUGCAAGUCGAACGGACAGGCCCUGCUCUUGCGGGGUGCUCGAGUGGCGCACGGGUGUGUAACACGCGAGUAAACCGCACCUGUCUUUGGGAUAACUUCAGGAAAAUGGGGCUAAUACCGGAUAGGAGCUCCUGCAGCACGGUGGGGGUUGGUAAGUUUCGGCGGUUGGGGAUCGAAUCGCAGCUUAUCCGCUUGAUGGUGAGGUAGUGACUUACCAAGGCUUUGACGGGUAGCCGGCCUGUGAAGGUGACCGGGCACAUUGGGACUGAGGUACGGCCCAGACGCGUACGGGAGGCAGCAGGGGGGAGUAUGGCGCAGUGGGCGGGAGCCUGAUGCAGCAACGCCGCGUGCGGAAUGACGGCCUUCUGGUUAUAAACCGCUGUCGCCUGUGACGAAGCGAGAGUGACGGUAAUUGGUAAAGAAGCACCGGCUAACUACGUG
This 468-nucleotide ribosomal RNA is filed under the name uncultured bacterium. RNAcentral describes it as "partial 16S ribosomal RNA". It matches the Rfam family "Bacterial small subunit ribosomal RNA", at positions 28 to 507 of the family's 1533-position model. The record is from RNAcentral.